This 449-nucleotide ribosomal RNA is filed under the name uncultured bacterium. RNAcentral describes it as "bacterial SSU rRNA". It matches the Rfam family "Bacterial small subunit ribosomal RNA", at positions 355 to 796 of the family's 1533-position model. The record is from RNAcentral.
UCGAGAAUCAUUCGCAAUGGGCGCAAGCCUGACGAUGCGACGCCGUGUGAGCGAAGAAGGCCUUCGGGUUGUAAAGCUCUUUCGCCUGGGAACAAGAGAAGCCGGAUAACACCCGGCUGAUUUGAGGGUACUAGGUAAAGAAGCACCGGCUAACUCCGUGCCAGCAGCUGCGGUAAUACGGAGGGUGCAAGCAUUAAUCGGAUUUAUUGGGCGUAAAGGGCGCGUAGGCGGCCUUGCAAGUCAGAUGUGAAAUUCCGGGGCUCAACCCCGGAGCUGCAUUUGAAACUACAAGACUAGAGGGUAGGCGGAGAAAACGGAAUUCCACAAGUAGCGGUGAAAUGCGUAGAUAUGUGGAAGAACACCGGUGGCGAAGGCGGUUUUCUAGCUUAAACCUGACGCUAAAGCGCGAAAGCAAGGGGAUCAAACAGGAUUAGAUACCCCUGUAGUCC